GAGGCAAGACAGGCAGGUUAGAAUGCAAAAGGACUCAAUUGCUGUGGACAUGACCAUAAAAAAACUUCCCCUAGGUUUUCUAUCUGCUAUUUUGGUAGCACUCAACCUACUGGGGACAUUG
Molecule: small nucleolar RNA, 121 nt
Organism: Nycticebus coucang (slow loris)
Lineage: Eukaryota; Metazoa; Chordata; Mammalia; Primates; Lorisidae
Product: small nucleolar RNA SNORA32
Exons: 1
Source: RefSeq, a predicted model, not a curated record